CCAUCAUGUGUAAGGGAUCAUUUUUCUAUAGGAAUUUCAUUCAACCACUGAAUGGCUUCUGAGUUCACUUUUUCGAUCUUCCUCAUGGACAUGUUGAACUUCCUGACUUAUAUUUGUAUGUCGGUUUUUUUCACCAAACCUCUCAGUCUUGAAUCUCGAAAUCUUGUAUUGAAGUUGUUCGCUAUAUAGCAUAGGCAAUAUAUAUGAUAUGCAUUGAGUGGUUGCCAACCAAGAUAUUUUUAUUUUACAUAGCAGAUAAUAUACCUGCAUGCUAAUCUAAAAUCAGAUAGAUGUUCUAACGUGAUGUAAUAAAACAUCUCAAACAAGCUAAGAACUAACUCCAUGGAU
RNAcentral lists this long non-coding RNA (348 nucleotides) under Elaeis guineensis (African oil palm). Its description in RNAcentral is "long non-coding RNA (EGUI_LNC033237)". Lineage: Eukaryota; Viridiplantae; Streptophyta; Magnoliopsida; Arecales; Arecaceae. The record is from RNAcentral.